UACGAAGGGGGCUAGCGUUGCUCGGAAUUACUGGGCGUAAAGCGCACGUAGGCGGCUUUCUAAGUCGGGGGUGAAAUCCUGGAGCUCAAUUCCAGAACUGCCUUCGAUACUGGAGAGCUCGAGUCCGGGAGAGGUGAGUGGAACUGCGAGUGUAGAGGUGAAAUUCGUAGAUAUUCGCAAGAACACCAGUGGCGAAGGCGGCUCACUGGCCCGGUACUGACGCUGAGGUGCGAAAGCGUGGGGAGCAAACAGG
RNAcentral lists this ribosomal RNA (253 nucleotides) under uncultured bacterium. RNAcentral's name for it is "partial 16S ribosomal RNA". It matches the Rfam family "Bacterial small subunit ribosomal RNA", at positions 524 to 776 of the family's 1533-position model. The record is from RNAcentral.